This 627-nucleotide ribosomal RNA is filed under the name uncultured archaeon. RNAcentral's name for it is "bacterial SSU rRNA". It matches the Rfam family "Archaeal small subunit ribosomal RNA", at positions 147 to 774 of the family's 1478-position model. The record is from RNAcentral.
UAAUACUGGAUAGGCAAUUAUUCCUGUAAUGGUUUUUUGUUUAAAUGUUUUUUCGCCUAAGGAUGGGUCUGCGGCCGAUUAGGUAGUUGGUUAGGUAAUGGCUUACCAAGCCUUUGAUCGGUACGGGUUGUGAGAGCAAGAGCCCGGAGAUGGAACCUGAGACAAGGUUCCAGGCCCUACGGGGUGCAGCAGGCGCGAAACCUCCGCAAUGUGAGAAAUCGCGACGGGGGGAUCCCAAGUGCCAUUCUUAACGGGAUGGCUUUUCUUUAGUGUAAAAAGCUUUUGGAAUAAGAGCUGGGCAAGACCGGUGCCAGCCGCCGCGGUAACACCGGCAGCUCUAGUGGUAGCAAUUUUUAUUGGGCCUAAAGCGUCCGUAGCCGGUUUAAUAAGUCUCUGGUGAAAUCCUGUAGCUUAACUGUGGGAAUUGCUGGAGAUACUAUUAGACUUGAGACCGGGAGAGGUUAGAGGUACUCCCAGGGUAGAGGUGAAAUUCUGUAAUCCUGGGAGGACCGCCUGUUGCGAAGGCGUCUAACUGGAACGGUUCUGACGGUGAGGGACGAAAGUUAGGGGCGCGAACCGGAUUAGAUACCCGGGUAGUCCUAACUGUAAACGAUGCGGACUUGGUGU